Molecule: long non-coding RNA, 1943 nt
Filed under: Heterocephalus glaber (naked mole-rat)
Lineage: Eukaryota; Metazoa; Chordata; Mammalia; Rodentia; Bathyergidae
Description: lncRNA (ENSHGLG00100042802.1)
Source: RNAcentral
GGGCAACGGUCUGACUGGGGCGUGGCGAGGAGAGGGUGGGCGUGGGGGUUGGUGCGGGUUGGCGAAGGGUGGAGGCAUGUCAGGCCCCGGCCACGCCCCUGCCGGUUUGGGCGGGAGCCGCCCCGGGACCAACUGCCCUCGUUGCUCACACCAAGGAGGCCUUGGCUAGCUCAGCCGGACCCCAAAGCCUGGACCGGGUCUCCACCUCCCCCCCACCCCCGUGCCCACGCCCUCCAUGCCGGCCUCGCCCGGGAGCAGAUCACUGCUGCCUCGCCCCCGCGGCCCACUCGCCCAGCGGGGCGCCUUAUCCGAGAGCCCUCCGGGCCUCAGCUUUAUCACCCGGCACCACCCGGCGUGGUUCUAACCCCGCGCCUUUGCGCUGCGCUGCACACCAGCUUUUUUUUUCUAAGACAGGAUCUCCCUGAGUUGCUCAGCUGCCCAGCCUGGGCUCGAACCUGCAGUCCAGCGCGGAGGCCUGGCCAACCCCUGACUUCCCGUGGCUGGGCCCAGGGUGUCAGCAGAGUCAGCUUCCAGGGAAUCCGACCUCUGGUCUCCCGCCCGAGUCCAGGGCCUUCCUGAGACUCCAGUCUUCGUGCCGAUGUCCCCAGGGCUGUGGUCCCACUGUGGCUGACUCCUUCUCUCCCGGGUCUCAGCCCAAAGCCCACUCCUCAGAAAAAUCCUUCAGUGUUUAGUCUGCUGUACACUUGAGCUCCAGCCCUCUCGAUGGCAAGUCACCCACUCUGUCUGCAGGUUCCUGGAGGGAGACGCUGGUCUCUCCUCUCUCACAACCAGGCGGGUACUCGGUGAAUGCUUGAAGUCAUCAGUUAGCGAAUUCAUGCAUUAGGCAUCAGGUAGCAACUCCUGAAUUAAUACACAUUUAUUGAUUCCUUGCACUAGGGAUUGCUGUGGUCCUAGUGAUGUUGGCAGUCCUUGGAAAGGGGGAGUCACUUUGCUGAGGCCUUGGCCGGCCUGGGCCUGACGCCACCCCCUCCUUUGGCCCCAGCUUGCCCUGGCCAUCUUACCCGGGCCACUUGUCCUCAAGGUCCAGAUGUGCGUGGUGUUGACCUCAGAGAGCCCAAGGCCGGGCCCAGGGCCACAGUGCCAAUGCCACAUUGUCUCUGCACAAAACCCACUUGGCUCCCGGCUGGGGGUAGACGCGGAACACAGCCCAUCCACGCGGCCCCAUGGUGCACAGCGGCUGUGUCUCGGGCCAGCGAGGGAGGCGGACGUGGGCCUGGUGGACAUCGCUGGUGUCACAGUCUCCCAUUUCCUAGGAAACCUCUGACCUGCUCCUGCUCUGCCCCGGGGCCUUUGUACCCCCCCCCCCCCACCCCGCGCCCCAUCCCCCCCACCCUUGUCCCCAGCAGGCGUGGGGCCGGACUUUCCGCCCCUGCCCUGUCGCUGUCUGCCUUUCUCAGGGCCGGGAUGCCGGGCACCGAGCCCAGGGCCUUGUGCGCCCCAGGCAGUCACCCUGCGUGGAGCCCCCAGAGCCGCCCCCGGUCCUUUCUGUUUUAUUUUGAGACAGCGGCUUGCUACACUAUGGCCGCUGGGCCCCAGGCAGAGCAGGGUGGGGAAGGACGAGGAAGAGGAGGAAGGCGCGCGGCCGACCGCCAGCCGAGGGCGCCAGAGGGUGGGAGGGGGCGCGCACCUGCUGCUGCUGCUGCUGCUGCUGCUGUGCGGGCGGCGAGCGGGAGCCGCGCUGCCCAGGGCGCCCACGUCCACGGCCGAGCAAGGACAGUGAGGGAGAAGCACGCUCGCCACCCGAGUCCCGCGAGAGCCGCGUGCGGCAGGGCCCGGGCGCACCAGACGCCCGGGGCUCCUACACCGCAAAGACCUGGAUGGAAGGAAGACCGGCAAACACUCUCCGUCUCCUACACCCACCCAUGUUGGGAUGGCAGCAUUUGGUCCUGUGCGGUUUUUAAAAGACUUACAAUUCAUUUCAC